Molecule: ribosomal RNA, 506 nt
Filed under: uncultured bacterium
Lineage: Bacteria
Description: partial 16S ribosomal RNA
Rfam family: Bacterial small subunit ribosomal RNA
Source: RNAcentral
AGUGAACGCUGGCGGUAGGCCUAACACAUGCAAGUCGAACGGCAGCACAGGAGAGCUUGCUCUCUGGGUGGCGAGUGGCGGACGGGUGAGGAAUACAUCGGAAUCUACUUUUUCGUGGGGGAUAACGUAGGGAAACUUACGCUAAUACCGCAUACGACAUACGAGUGAAAGCAGGGGACCUUCGGGCCUUGUGCGAUUGAAUGAGCCGAUGUCGGAUUAGCUAGUUGGCGGGGUAAAGGCCCACCAAGGCGACGAGCCGUAGCUGGUCUGAGAGGAUGAUCAGCCACACUGGAACUGAGACACGGUCCAGACUCCUACGGGAGGCAGCAGUGGGGAAUAUUGGACAAUGGGCGCAAGCCUGAUCCAGCCAUACCGCGUGGGUGAAGAAGGCCUUCGGGUUGUAAAGCCCUUUUGUUGGGAAAGAAAUCCAGCUGGCUAAUACCCGGUUGGGAUGACGGUACCCAAAGAAUAAGCACCGGCUAACUUCGUGCCAGCCGCCGCAGUAA